GUGGGUUCAAUGUGUCACAAAUUGUAACUCCUCAAAAAAUUGAGUGUUUUUUGUUAAAUUCUAAUAUAAUUAAGUCUUUGUAUUUAUGGUUAAGUGCUCUGUUUGGAUAUUAGAAGUUAAGGGUUCAAAUCUCAUAUUUGGAAAUUUUGUUAUUUUGUUUGACUUAACCUUUAUUCUUGAACGAUUGACUUAAGUUUAAUUCUGCGUUAGUUUGUGUUAAAGAUGAGUUUGCUGGUUUGAUGGUUAAGUAUUUGUUACUUUUUGGUUUAGUUUUCGAGUCUCUGUGUGAGCGAAGUGGAGAUGUGUUUUUUUUUUUUUGCUACUCUAUAGAAUUAGUUUAAUUCUUUUUUUUAAAUUAAAUUUGUAAUAGCCAAUUUUGGCCCAGACAAAUAAACAAAAAAUAAAACCCAAAUAACCAAAUAAAAAGUCCAAAUUUUAAGUCCAUUUACAACAUAUGUAUGACCCAAACAAUUAAAACCCUAGCCCAAAUCCUAGCCCACUAUCUUAAACAUUUUCAGCAAACAAAAAACCUAGCCACCAAAGUUUUCAGCCGCCACUCCCCCUCAGCCUUGGCCACCACGCGCCCCGCCUCGCCUCCUCGCGAGCCAACCACCGGCCUUCCACGCCUCUGACACCUGCAGAGGGAAAUUAAUACAAGGCAUGAUAGCAAAACGACAAAAGAUAUGGAGUUAGAAGGUUGUAAUUCGGCUUUAAAAACCAAAAGAUUCUCUUUGUAAUUUUUUUACACAGACUAUCAAUUGAAAAAAGUAGAACAGAAGUUUGAACAAGGUUGAUCUCCGAUUUUCUUUUUCUUGGUUUUCAUUUCGUUUUUAGUUUCCUUUUAUUUAUUUUUUAUUUUUUUAUUUACUACAAAUCUAUUAAAUAAAAGUGGGCAUAAAACAAAUAAGAGAAAGGAAGGAAGAAGAGAGUCUCACCGGAAUCGCCCGUGGUUACAUCGCCGGAGGUCUCUCUUCCGUCGUCGGGACCGAAAGUGGUUGAAGAACUCUUCUUUCGUUUCUUUUCAACUUAAGAAGGCUAGACCUUCGAACCCCUUUCAAAACAGGGCUAAACGACCCAUUCUUGUGCAUCGCCGGCCACCGAAUACGGUGGUGGUGCGGCGGUCAUGCGAUGAACCCAACCGUCGCAGACAAAAGGAGAGGGAGAGAGAGCAAAAGGCUCUCUGUUUUUUUUUUAAAAAAAGGGCUGAAAUGAAGAAAAAAAUCAAAUUUUGGCUUUAAUAGUCGUAUAAAACGGCAGAGUUUUGGCAACCCCCCACGCCUCAAAAUGGCUCUGUUUAGGGAGGAACGCACGACCCGACCCGACCCAUACCCAGCGGAGGAUCCGCGCAUUUUGACCUAAUGGUCUAUUUGCGCAUUGGAUCCCUCCGCUUUGGUGGCGUGAUUCAAUGUAGUCCCAUAUUUUU
This 1423-nucleotide long non-coding RNA is filed under the name Gossypium barbadense (sea-island cotton). Its description in RNAcentral is "long non-coding RNA (GBAR_LNC004075)". The record is from RNAcentral. Lineage: Eukaryota; Viridiplantae; Streptophyta; Magnoliopsida; Malvales; Malvaceae.